RNAcentral lists this ribosomal RNA (151 nucleotides) under uncultured bacterium. RNAcentral describes it as "partial 16S ribosomal RNA". It matches the Rfam family "Bacterial small subunit ribosomal RNA", at positions 622 to 772 of the family's 1533-position model. The record is from RNAcentral.
CGCCCCCCGACCCCCGCGGCUCGGGUCCGGUAGGGGCGGGUGGAACACCCGGUGUAGCGGUGGAAUGCGCAGAUAUCGGGGGGAACGCCGGUGGCGAAGGCGGCCCUCUGGGCCGAGACCGACGCUGAGGCGCGAAAGCUGGGGGAGCGAA